Molecule: long non-coding RNA, 772 nt
Organism: Populus trichocarpa (black cottonwood)
Lineage: Eukaryota; Viridiplantae; Streptophyta; Magnoliopsida; Malpighiales; Salicaceae
Exons: 4
Source: RefSeq, a predicted model, not a curated record
GGACAGUGGCCUGCGAGUCACUCUUGUUUGGAGUUAAAUUUUUAUUUAUCCUAAAAGGCUUUUAUUCUCCUAGUUGUAUAUGUACAUUAGUCUCCAUAUACAGUUACUUCAUUUAUACCUCAAAAAGAAGCCUUGCCUAUUCGUGCACAUUUUCAUUUCGGAGGGUUUCUGCCAAAAAUCUUGCUGAUUUGAGCCUUCUUUUGCGUCCAGCUCUGGAUUUCUACAAAAAAUGGCAUAACGGCAACUGCAAUUUUUGGUGCUGAUGUUGCCGAGUUGAAGAACACCAUGGAAUCUCUCUACGACUCGUGUGUGAUUUGUGCUCAGACUCCCCAACACUGAUCUUGUAUAUUGUCAACAAGGUUAAAGGGGCGGUGUGAUCGGAAUCAGGUGUGAUUGGAAGUCAGGUUUCUGCUGAAUCUGACUCUUUUUCUAUACAUUAGGGGGACGAUUAAAGGAAGAUGCAGAAGGAUUGAUAUUGCUAAUGGAUCAUGAAAGUGUUUUAGCGGUGAUGGUUUGUGGAUAUAUCUCUCUGGAAAAGUCAUUAAGAUGCUUUUAAUAUAUUAGGCUUUUUGCCUCGGAAAUUAUUUUGUAGUGCUUCAUGAUUCCUUGGUAGAAUAUGCUGUGAAAAGACUUGGGGAUAAUUUAAUUUGUCCAGAGUUGAUGCUUGCACAUUAGCUGAUCAUGCUCAUAAGUUUGGCUCAUCGAAUAUACCAGAAAAUAUGUAGCCAUUCGGCAAACAGCUUUAGCAAUAAAGGGCUGCCAAUUGGAUUUA